GACGAACGCUGGCGGUGUGCUUAACACAUGCAAGUCGAACGGUAAGGCCCUUUCGGGGGUACCCGAGUGGCGAACGGGGGCGUAAGACGUGGGUAACCUGCCCUCAUUUCUUGGAUAACAGGCGGAAACGGGUGCUAAUACUGGUAAUGAGCUUGCAAGGCAUCUGGUGGGUUGGAAAGAUUUUUUUUGGUUGGGGAUGGACUCGCGGCGUAUCAGCUUGUUGGUGAGGUAGUGGCUCACCAAGGCUUCGACGGGUAGCCGGCCUGAGAGGGCGAACGGCCACAUUGGGACCGAGCUACGGCCCACACUCCUACGGGAGGCAGCAGUGGGGAAUAUUGGACAAUGGACGGCAGUCUGAUGCAGCAACGCCGCGUGCGGGAUGACGGCCUUCGGGUUGUAAACCGCUCUCAAUGGUGACGAAGCUUUUUUGUGACGGUAGCAGUAGAAGAAGCACCGGCUAACUACGUG
RNAcentral lists this ribosomal RNA (468 nucleotides) under uncultured bacterium. RNAcentral's name for it is "partial 16S ribosomal RNA". It matches the Rfam family "Bacterial small subunit ribosomal RNA", at positions 28 to 507 of the family's 1533-position model. The record is from RNAcentral.